UACGUAGGGUGCGAGCGUUGUCCGGAAUUACUGGGCGUAAAGAGCUCGUAGGUGGUUUGUCGCGUUGUCCGUGAAAACUCACAACUCAAUUGUGGGCGUGCGGGCGAUACGGGCAGACUGGAGUACUGCAGGGGAGACUGGAAUUCCUGGUGUAGCGGUGGAAUGCGCAGAUAUCUGGAGGAACACCAGUGGCGAAGGCGGCGAUCUGGGAAGAUACUGACGCUGAGGUGCGAAAGCGUGGGGAGCAAACAGG
Molecule: ribosomal RNA, 253 nt
Filed under: uncultured bacterium
Lineage: Bacteria
Description: partial 16S ribosomal RNA
Rfam family: Bacterial small subunit ribosomal RNA
Source: RNAcentral